Molecule: ribosomal RNA, 496 nt
Filed under: uncultured bacterium
Lineage: Bacteria
Description: partial 16S ribosomal RNA
Rfam family: Bacterial small subunit ribosomal RNA
Source: RNAcentral
GAUGAACGCUGGCGGCGUGCCUAAUACAUGCAAGUCGAGCGAACAGACGAGGAGCUUGCUCCUUUGACGUUAGCGGCGGACGGGUGAGUAACACGUGGAUAACCUACCUAUAAGACUGGGAUAACUUCGGGAAACCGGAGCUAAUACCGGAUAACAUGUUGAACCGCAUGGUUCAACAGUGAAAGACGGUCUUGCUGUCACUUAUAGAUGGAUCCGCGCCGCAUUAGCUAGUUGGUAAGGUAACGGCUUACCAAGGCAACGAUGCGCAGCCGACCUGAGAGGGUGAUCGGCCACACUGGAACUGAGACACGGUCCAGACUCCUACGGGAGGCAGCAGUAGGGAAUCUUCCGCAAUGGGCGAAAGCCUGACGGAGCAACGCCGCGUGAGUGAAGAAGGUCUUCGGAUCGUAAAACUCUGUUAUUAGGGAAGAACAAAUGUGUAAGUAACUAUGCACGUCUUGACGGUACCUAAUCAGAAAGCCACGGCUAACUACGU